This 117-nucleotide non-coding RNA is filed under the name Gorilla gorilla gorilla (western lowland gorilla). The record is from Rfam by way of RNAcentral. Lineage: Eukaryota; Metazoa; Chordata; Mammalia; Primates; Hominidae.
GCCGGGCAUGGUAGCUCAUGCCUGUAAUCCCAGCACUUUGGGAGGCCGAGGCAGGCGGAUCACCUGAGGUCAGGAGUUUGAGACCAGCCUGGCCAACAUGGUGAAACCCUGUCUCUA